GUGGGGAAUCUUCCGCAAUGGACGAAAGUCUGACGGAGCAACGCCGCGUGAGUGAAGAAGGUUUUCGGAUCGUAAAGCUCUUUCGUUAGGGACGAACGUGCUCUUUGUGAAUAAUGAGGAGUAAUGACGGUACCUAAAUAAGAAGCCACGGCUAACUACGUGCCAGCAGCCGCGGUAAUACGUAGGUGGCAAGCGUUGUCCGGAAUUAUUGGGAGUAAAGCGCGCGCAGGCGGGAUAUCAAGUCUGUCUUAAAAGUGCGAGGCUCAACCUCGUGAGGGGACAGAAACUGGUAUUCUUGAGUGUCGGAGAGGAAAGUGGAAUUCCAAGUGUAGCGGUGAAAUGCGUAGAGAUUUGGAAGAACACCAGUGGCGAAGGCGACUUUCUGGACGAUGUCUGACGCUGAGGCGCGAAAGCUAGGGGAGCGAACGGGAUUAGAAACCCUAGUAGUCC
RNAcentral lists this ribosomal RNA (450 nucleotides) under uncultured bacterium. RNAcentral's name for it is "partial 16S ribosomal RNA". It matches the Rfam family "Bacterial small subunit ribosomal RNA", at positions 354 to 796 of the family's 1533-position model. The record is from RNAcentral.